UUUAAUCGCGUCAAACCGAAAGUGAAAUUAAAGCUGAGCGACCUGUAACAGCAGCUCGACUCCUGGUGAGUAAUACGAGGGAAAACGUGGACCAGUACUGUAGGUUCGUAGGAGCAGCAAUGAGAGACUGACUAAACAGACAGACAACACAGGAAAAAACACAACAACGGAAAUAAGGAUCAAUGGAAUGGCAAAAUCUGAUUGUCAAUCACCAAAAUAAAUAAAUAAAUAAACAAA
Labeo rohita (rohu) is the source of this 237-nucleotide long non-coding RNA. RefSeq lists it as uncharacterized. Lineage: Eukaryota; Metazoa; Chordata; Actinopteri; Cypriniformes; Cyprinidae. The transcript is spliced from 3 exons. The record is from RefSeq and is a predicted model, not a curated record.